UACGAAGGGUGCAAACGUUGCUCGGAAUCAUUGGGCGUAAAGCGCACGUAGGCGGCCUCAUAAGUCGGAUGUGAAAUCCCUCGGCUCAACCGAGGAAGUGCAUCCGAAACUGCGAGGCUCGAGUAUGGAAGAGGGUCGCAGAAUUCCCGGUGUAGAGGUGAAAUUCGUAGAUAUUCGCAAGAACACCAGUGGCGAAGGCGGCUCACUGGCCCGGAACUGACGCUGAGGUGCGAAAGCGUGGGGAGCAAACAGG
RNAcentral lists this ribosomal RNA (253 nucleotides) under uncultured bacterium. RNAcentral describes it as "partial 16S ribosomal RNA". It matches the Rfam family "Bacterial small subunit ribosomal RNA", at positions 524 to 776 of the family's 1533-position model. The record is from RNAcentral.